This 521-nucleotide non-coding RNA is filed under the name Rhodnius prolixus. RNAcentral describes it as "Eukaryotic small subunit ribosomal RNA". It matches the Rfam family "Eukaryotic small subunit ribosomal RNA", at positions 1 to 509 of the family's 1831-position model. Lineage: Eukaryota; Metazoa; Arthropoda; Insecta; Hemiptera; Reduviidae. The record is from Rfam by way of RNAcentral.
UCUCUGGUUGAUCCUGCCAGUAGUCAUAUGCUUGUCUCAAAGCUUAAGCCAUGCAAGUGUCAGUACAUACUAAAUUAAAGUGAAACCGCAAAGGGCUCAGUAAACCAGUUUUAAUUUACUAGAGUUUUCACGUUUCGUACGUGGAUAACUGUGGUAAUUCUAGAGCUAAUACAUGCAACUAAGUCCGGACCAGAAAUGGAAAGGACGCUUUUAUUAGAUCAAAACCAUUCGCCCGGCUUGUCUGGGCGUUGUUUUGGUGAAUCUAGAUAACACUUGUGAUCGUACAGUCACCGUACUGACGACAUCUCUUUCAAACGCCUGACUUAUCAGCUGUCGAUGGUAGACUCUGUGUCUACCAUGGCCCUCACGGGUAACGGGGAAUCAGGGUUCGAUUCCGGAGAGGGAGCCUGAGAAACGGCUACCACAUCCAAGGCAGGCAGCAGGCACGCAAAUUACCCACUCCCGGCACGGGGGGGUGUGACAAAAAAUAACGAUACGGGACUCUAUUGAGGCCCCGUAAU